Lemur catta (Ring-tailed lemur) is the source of this 2401-nucleotide long non-coding RNA. RefSeq lists it as uncharacterized. The record is from RefSeq and is a predicted model, not a curated record. The transcript has 3 exons. NCBI's taxonomy places the organism in Eukaryota, Metazoa, Chordata, Mammalia, Primates, Lemuridae.
GGGCCAGACUCAAGAUGGCAAUGGCAGUUAACCCGCAAGCACCACCCAUCCUCUGCCGGGCACUGUCCCCAUCGGUCCUCACAACGCUCCCGCAAGGGAGGGACCAUCCUUAGGCCCAUUUUGAAGAUGAGGAAACUGAGGCACAGAGUGGCGCAGAGCCUUGCCGAGGCCACGCAGUGCCACGUGAGAGGACUUCACGCCGGCGAGCCGUCCCGCCCUGGCACCGCCACGCCACCUUCCCUGGUGGAAGCAGACCCAGGUGCUCUGAGUAAAAGUGUCUCUGUGUGUGAAGUGGAAAAGCAAAGCCCACCAGGUCAUUCACUCGUUCACUCCAGAAAUGCGUGUGGGACACCGUGUGGCGCUGGGGACAGAGCAGCCCCAGCCCAGCAGUGCCAGUGGGAAUGUGGCUGUGGGCUGGAGGCGUGAGGCUUGUGGUCCUUAGGACGGCCCGGGCACCUCUCCCCUCCCGAGGGCGGGGACCCCUCCAGCCGGCUCUCAGGCCCCUCAAGGUGACCACCGCAGGCGCCCAGGAGGGCUCUGCUACAGGCGCACUUGGAGGGACCGUCUUCCGAGUCUAUUCAAUAAAAUGGCUAAAGCCUGGGUCACCCCUUCAGGUAGCUUGCUGCGACCACCACAUGAUCGAGGACACUUUGCAGCAGACAAGGGCAAGCACCACAUGAGAGGAGAAGCCGCCAGCCUGAUUCAGACCCAGCGCAGAAAACAGCUCUUAGGCAGCGAUGCCAGAACCACCUUGUGACAAAAAACGACCGUCCCAGAAAAGUCUCUCUCUUCCUAGGCUCUGGGUGAGGGGCUCUCCAAGGCUUGGCACACCGGUGACAAACCUCUCCGCAAAGAGAGCUCAAGAGGAAUCUUCUGGGCUCGGCAGGCCAAGAGGCAAAUUCACGGUUAUCAUCAUGUGUGUGCUCAUAUAAUAGGAGAGAAAACAAAUCCCACACAUUUUCAUUGUUGUAAUAAUCGAGUCCUUUUUUUGGUAAUACAAAUCUAUGGAUAACAAGAAUGAAAUUUUCAUUUCUAGAAUAAUGCUUUGCUUCAUGGGGAUCAAAGUCGACGUUCCCUUUCAUCACACCCACUGCUGUCGUUCAUGCGGAAGGGCCGUCGUCCUCAGCUCAAGCACAAGGAGAAACGAAGCGGCCGCCGGGUUUGGCCUCCAGGCUGCUGUCUGAGCUUCCCGCGGCUGCUGGACACAUGGCCACAGGCUGAACGGCUCACAACAACACACGUUUAUUACUAUCUUCCACUUCUGGGGGUCAGAAAUCCAAAAUGGGUCUCGCUGGGCUAUAAAAUCAAGGUGUCAGCGGGGCUGAGUUCCAUCUGAAGCUCUAUGAGAAUCCAUUUCCAGAACUUUUCAGCUUCCAGAGGCCACCUGCAUCCCUCGGCUCAGGGAAGGCCCCCAGAAAUCACGUCACUGCGAUCCCUGCUUUCAUCAUCCUAUCUCUUGCUCCGAGUCACCUCUUUCCCGAGUAACGACAUGCAUGUCGUUAAUUGGGCCCAGCCGGGUAAGCCAGGACCAUGUCCCCGUCUCAAGAUCCUGCACACAGUCACACCUGCAGAGUCUGUUUCACCAGAUCUCAGAGCUGGUCAAACGGAGACCCGGGCGAGGUAUCAAUUCUCAGCCCCCACCAACACAUCGCUGUCUCCAUCAUCAUUUAGUCUACAUGGUAAGUUCUUGAAGGGCAGGGAACCCCCCCCCCCAACACACACCCAGCUAGCAAUGCCCGGCAGAGCACCUGCUGAACAGGAAAUUUCUGGUACAAAUUCUCAAAGUCAAUCAAUUCAGUGAUCAUCUAAUUAGCCCAAGGUGUAGAGAAUUAAAUGGAAAGCUUAACUGCAGAGUGAGGAUUCAUGCUAAUGUCUGGAUGUGAACAUAUGCAAACUGCGGGGACCACAUUGAUUCUGUGAAGACCCCAUUAACAAAGCCGCUAAACCCCCCUAGUGCCAGGGCUGCCUGACCCGGGUAGGGGCACCUCCCUGUGCUGGGUGUCAUGUGACCGAGGGGCCUGUGCAAACCAUCCAAGCCCAGCGGCCACUCUGCUGCUUGGUACUCAUCGUCUACUUGACAUUUUUCUCUUUCUUUUUCAACUCUGGGAGCAGGAGCAUGGGUGUCUCCCCAAACCAGGACGCAAGGGCCAGGCGAACGGGAGCCUCGUCUGUCCUGCUCUCAGCUGCGGCUGCAGCUCCUAGAACAGUGCCCGGCACCUAGCGGACGCUCAGCGAGUAUUUGUUGAAAGAAUGAGUGAACCAAGUGAAUAGAAUAAAGCCUCUUCUUCACAACUAAUGUCGACUAUAGAUCUAGAAACUCCCCCGUGGGCCUGAUGCAGUACAACCCCCCCGGGACAGGAAGGAGAAUAUUAGUACCUACCUCAUCCAGGGCUGAGACGAC